CUGAUAGUUCCGACUGUAUCGCAUAUUGCGUGGGAGCUUCCAAUCAGUGACUCUCAAUUUCAAGUUCUAAUAGGACGAUCGCGGUUGGAUAAAGGUCCCGAACAGUGGAAUUCGGAUGCACCAUCGAGCUGUUAUUCUACCUGCGUGCCGUGCAAGGUCGUUUCAUCGGGACCAAUAAGAAUUCAACGACGAGUCUAGGCCUACGUGCCACGAGGAACGAACGACAAAGGGUCCGACCCGUCGUUUUUGGAACGCUACGUCUCCGAUUUGAUAAUCGAC
This 279-nucleotide unclassified non-coding RNA is filed under the name Bombus terrestris (buff-tailed bumblebee). RNAcentral describes it as "misc RNA ENSBTSG00005034548.1". Lineage: Eukaryota; Metazoa; Arthropoda; Insecta; Hymenoptera; Apidae. The record is from RNAcentral.